CCCAUGCCGAACUCAGAAGUGAAACGCCGUAGCGCCGAUGGUAGUGUGGGGUCUCCCCAUGCGAGAGUAGGGAACUGCCAGGC
RNAcentral lists this ribosomal RNA (83 nucleotides) under Citrobacter freundii. Lineage: Bacteria; Pseudomonadati; Pseudomonadota; Gammaproteobacteria; Enterobacterales; Enterobacteriaceae. RNAcentral also lists the same sequence under 35 other names. The record is from RNAcentral.